Molecule: transfer RNA, 76 nt
Filed under: Candidatus Peribacteria bacterium
Lineage: Bacteria; Candidatus Peregrinibacteriota; Candidatus Peribacteria
Also listed under: 2 other names
Description: tRNA-Pro
Rfam family: tRNA
About the family: Transfer RNA (tRNA) molecules are approximately 80 nucleotides in length. Their secondary structure includes four short double-helical elements and three loops (D, anti-codon, and T loops).
Source: RNAcentral
CGGGACGUAGCUCAGUUGGUAGAGCGCCUGGUUUGGGACCAGGAGGCCGCGAGUUCGAGCCCCGCCGUCCCGACCA